GGGGAUGUAGUUCAGUGGUAGAGUGUGUUUAGCAUGCACAAGGCCCUGGGUUUGAUUCCCAGCACCA
Molecule: transfer RNA, 67 nt
Filed under: Ictidomys tridecemlineatus (thirteen-lined ground squirrel)
Lineage: Eukaryota; Metazoa; Chordata; Mammalia; Rodentia; Sciuridae
Description: Spermophilus tridecemlineatus (thirteen-lined ground squirrel) tRNA
Rfam family: tRNA
About the family: Transfer RNA (tRNA) molecules are approximately 80 nucleotides in length.
Source: Rfam by way of RNAcentral